Molecule: ribosomal RNA, 301 nt
Filed under: uncultured bacterium
Lineage: Bacteria
Description: partial 16S ribosomal RNA
Rfam family: Bacterial small subunit ribosomal RNA
Source: RNAcentral
CAGUCGCCGCGGUAAAACGAAGGGUGCAAGCGUUACUUGGAAUUACUGGGCGUAAAGCGUGCGUAGGUGGUGGUUUAAGUCCGUUGUGAAAGCCCUGGGCUCAACCUGGGAAUUGCAGUGGAUACUGGGUCACUAGAGUGUGGUAGAGGAUAGUGGAAUUUCCGGUGUAGCAGUGAAAUGCGUAGAGAUCGGAAGGAACAUCUGUGGCGAAGGCGACUAUCUGGGCCAACACUGACACUGAGGCACGAAAGCGUGGGGAGCAAACAGGAUUAGAUACCCCAGUAGUCCUGUCUCUUAUACA